Molecule: ribosomal RNA, 253 nt
Filed under: uncultured bacterium
Lineage: Bacteria
Description: partial 16S ribosomal RNA
Rfam family: Bacterial small subunit ribosomal RNA
Source: RNAcentral
UACGGGGGGGGCAAGCGUUGUUCGGAAUUACUGGGCGUAAAGGGCUCGUAGGCGGCCAACUAAGUCAGACGUGAAAUCCCUCGGCUUAACCGGGGAACUGCGUCUGAUACUGGAUGGCUUGAGUUCGGGAGAGGGAUGCGGAAUUCCAGGUGGAGCGGUGAAAUGCGUAGAUAUCUGGAGGAACACCGGUGGCGAAAGCGGCUCACUGGAUCGAUACUGACGCUGAGGUGCGAAAGCUAGGGUAGCAAACGGG